AACGAACGCUGGCGGCAUGCCUAACACAUGCAAGUCGAACGAAACCAUCGGGUGCUUUCGCGCACGGGUGUGUAACGCGAGGGAACCGGCCCACAGGGUUGGAAUAACUCUCCGACAGGGGUGCUAACAGCGGAUAAUGUCUUCUGACGAAAGAUUUAUCGACCUUGGAUGGGCCCUCGUUGGAGUAGCUAGUUGGUACGGUAAAAGCUUACCACGGCGCCGAUCCGUAGCUGGUCUGAGAGGCUGAUCAGCCACACUGGGACUGGGACACGGCCCAGACUCCUACGGGAGGCAGCAGUGGGGAAUAUUGGACAAUGGGCGGAAGCCUGAUCCAGCAAUGCCGCGUGAGUGAUGAAGGCCUUAGAGUUGUAAAGCUCUUUUACCCGGGAUGAUAAUGACAGUACCGGGAGAAUAAGCCCCGGCUAACUCCGUG
Molecule: ribosomal RNA, 433 nt
Filed under: uncultured bacterium
Lineage: Bacteria
Description: partial 16S ribosomal RNA
Rfam family: Bacterial small subunit ribosomal RNA
Source: RNAcentral